UUGGUGCGAAACCGAUUGGUGA
RNAcentral lists this unclassified non-coding RNA (22 nucleotides) under Chlamydomonas reinhardtii. RNAcentral describes it as "small RNA Cre_4034". Lineage: Eukaryota; Viridiplantae; Chlorophyta; Chlorophyceae; Chlamydomonadales; Chlamydomonadaceae. The record is from RNAcentral.